This 492-nucleotide ribosomal RNA is filed under the name uncultured bacterium. Its description in RNAcentral is "partial 16S ribosomal RNA". It matches the Rfam family "Bacterial small subunit ribosomal RNA", at positions 29 to 507 of the family's 1533-position model. The record is from RNAcentral.
AGUGAACGCUGGCGGUAGGCCUAACACAUGCAAGUCGAACGGCAGCACAGUAAGAGCUUGCUCUUACGGGUGGCGAGUGGCGGACGGGUGAGGAAUACAUCGGAAUCUACUUUUUCGUGGGGGAUAACGUAGGGAAACUUACGCUAAUACCGCAUACGACCUACGGGUGAAAGCAGGGGAUCUUCGGACCUUGCGCGAUUGAAUGAGCCGAUGUCGGAUUAGCUAGUUGGCGGGGUAAAGGCCCACCAAGGCGACGAUCCGUAGCUGGUCUGAGAGGAUGAUCAGCCACACUGGAACUGAGACACGGUCCAGACUCCUACGGGAGGCAGCAGUGGGGAAUAUUGGACAAUGGGCGCAAGCCUGAUCCAGCCAUACCGCGUGGGUGAAGAAGGCCUUCGGGUUGUAAAGCCCUUUUGUUGGGAAAGAAAAGCAGCAGGUUAAUACCCCGCUGUUCUGACGGUACCCAAAGAAUAAGCACCGGCUAAUUUCGUG